Molecule: non-coding RNA, 31 nt
Filed under: Mus musculus (house mouse)
Lineage: Eukaryota; Metazoa; Chordata; Mammalia; Rodentia; Muridae
Source: RNAcentral
UGUUUGAGUGAUUACUGUGUGUCAGAAAUGU